UACGUAGGGGGCUAGCGUUGUCCGGAUUUAUUGGGCGUAAAGAGCGUGUAGGCGGCCAGGUAGGUCUGGUGUGAAAACUCGAGGCUUAACCUCGAGAUGUCAUCGGAAACCAUUUGGCUAGAGUCCGGAAGAGGAGAGUGGAAUUCCUGGUGUAGCGGUGAAAUGCGCAGAUAUCAGGAAGAACACCAAUGGCGAAGGCAGCUCGCUGGGACGGUACUGACGCUGAGGCGCGAAAGCGUGGGGAGCGAACAGG
RNAcentral lists this ribosomal RNA (253 nucleotides) under uncultured bacterium. Its description in RNAcentral is "partial 16S ribosomal RNA". It matches the Rfam family "Bacterial small subunit ribosomal RNA", at positions 524 to 776 of the family's 1533-position model. The record is from RNAcentral.